UAUGCGGCCUAGGUAGGCCUUGAAAAAUCCAACGUGGGUUUUUCUAGUUCUGUCACCAUAGUGUCACAAAGCCAGACCACGGAUAAAUGCUUGAUUUCUGUCCCAUUCAGCGAACAAAUUGCACACCCCAUUAACACUGACCAAGGAGUAUAGUUCUGACCCUAAUGUUGGCUGAUUUUCCUUUAUGUCAAAAAUUAAGUAAAAAAACAGUGAAACUCAACGUCGGAUCUUCACUGCUUCCAAACUUUCUUCAGUUAUUUCCCUCCUUCCCAACUUCACUCUUUUUGGAGCUUCACUCACACCUCAAUGACAUAAAUGAGGAACUUCUCUACGGAAGUCAAAUAACAGUGUUGAAGUGCUGGAGGGGUAUCUCCUCACCUUGUGCUGUUCACAACUUAAAAGGCUGCAGACACCAUACACAUUCAGGUUUCAUCUGCAUUAUUAACAUUUCCCCACUCAUUUCCUUAAGGGAACAAUCCACAACAAAUCAAACCCCGAUUUGUAGAUUUCCUCGGUGUAAAUAUUUACGCCAUUGCUGAUUUCAAGCCACCAAAUAUGGGGAAGCUGAACUCAGCAUUUGCUACCAAACCAGGUUUGUUUGCCCCACCAGCAGCAGGCCAGCACUAUCAUGCUGAAGUUCACAGCAGAGAAAGGUUUUGUUCAGCCACAUAAGGAGACAGGAGAACAAAUCUCAGAUCCACUUUGGGGAAGGCAAGAGGCUAGAUAUUUACGGGAUAAAGAAGCAGAGUGGUCUUAGGCAUGGGGAAAUGUGAUUGGAGGUAGGGAAAAAGCAAAGUAAUCGGUGUUCUGCGCAGGCCCAGUUUUAGGGUCGGUGGUCCCAACUAGUCAUAGCUGGUCUGAACUGGGCAGGAGCCAACUCCAAAUUUCUGGAAAACAACUUAAGCCCCCGUUACUAUGGUGACCUACACGUCAGAAGCGUUAUCUACAGAGGUGGUUAAGAAGUCUGGUGAUAUAUUACCCAGGCUACGUGAAGCUUGGAGGGUAUGCAGUUAGAGAAAGGGAAAAAAACAACCAAAGCUGGCUUAAUCAAUAAAGGCAGGUUACAAGCAGCGGGGUUUCUAACAGGCUGUUCCCUUAUCUGCUGUUCAGUGAGACGAACUCAAGGAUUUGUGCUGACAGCUUCUGUUAACCCUGUGGGGUGCGGUUUCACACUGAGAAGAGAUGCUGCACUUACACCACACAGACGUAACAGACAUGAACAAAGUCAAGAAUAUAGAUAGUAGAAAAUGUGCAACGUAGUAACAUAAUUAAGCACUGAUGAGUUUUGAGUUUUUAUUACCUUUGUUUUUAACAUAAUUUACUUAAGCCUAAAUUUAUGCAACUUAAUUCUCAAUAAUGGCUGUGUUUGUCUCUGGCUUUCAGUUUUCCUGAAAAUUUAGAAAUCAGCUCUCACUGUAGGACUGGCUUUAGCAGACCACUGGCCUAGCACAUAGUAAACACUUAACAGAUUCAAGCUGAAUGAAUGCACUGUAUUGUAAUUAGUUGUUAAAGAUGUGUGUCCACCUGACUUAACGGAGUUGCAGUGAGAGCCCCAGUGCCUGGCACAUGGCAAGAGUUCACUAAAUGUUUGUUGAAGAUCUGACUCUUAGCAGCAUCUUGAGUCCUGAUAAAUCAGAGGCUCCUUGAUAGUAGGUACCUGGGCCCUCAGAUCAUCAGCAAUGCAAGGUCCCCCAGUUUUUUAAAAGAAAUUUGACUUAGAUAUACAGGUAUCCCCGCUUUUGAAAGUUCGCACUGAGCCUCUUGGCUUUUACGAAGACCUACGAUAGUAUGGCAACGGCUUUUUUCUCAUAAAAGUGAAAAUUCUCUUUGGAUUUAUUUUGGUUAGUGGAAUCAGGUACUUGGGUGGUUCCUUUGUAAAAGCGAAGUGGGGGAACUCAGAUUUUCGGGAAGCUGGGGAACCUGUAUAUUUUCUAACGCCUCACUGCAGUCAUCAGAGGGAAAACAGUAUUUUUAGACCUUAUCACGCUUCUUUUAUGAUUUAGUGCUUUUUAAUUACAAGUGGGAUGAGAAUGGAAAGCCUUUCAUGUUGAGAACCUCUAAAGGCCUUAACACAUCCCAGUCUUUCCUCUCUCCCAGCACCUUCUACUGCAUGUUAAACUCACCUGCCUUUCAUGACGAAUGUGAAACUACAGAAGGAAAGAAGGAGUUUAUUUGUGCUCAUUUGGAAGCUCAGAGUUUGUGCUUAAUUGGAAGAAUAUACAGGCAGCCUCUCUCUCUUACUGUCUCUGUGGAGAAAGUGAGGGGUAGAGGAAAAAGAGUGAGAAAUGGCAGACGGAGAAUCACGCAGGGAAUUCCUUUUGACCCCUCACCCCGCAGUUGCCCCACAUCUCAGCUGAAUCCUAAGUGGUCAGGCUGAGGAGGCAGAGAUUCAGCAUACAAAGUUAUUAGGGGUUGAUUAAUUGUGUAACCUAAGGUAUUUGUUCUUCUAAAUAAUUUAUGAAGUUCUUGGAAAUACUAAGCUCUAACACAUUUAAAUUGCAAGUUAAUAGACUGAUGUCCUCUAGGACGUUAAAUUUCUUUGUAGCCUAGUAUGUACAGAAUAAUCUUGUUUCUUUUUUUUUUUAAAGAGCAUAUGCAUCUAUGUGGGGAUAUGGGGUAUUUGAAGGGAAUAGAAAAAGAGCUGGGAGGAUAUGUGACAAAUACAAUUAACUCCUGAGCAAUGAGUUGAAGAGAAGGCAGAGAAAGGCACCCACAUUUUUCACUUUAUAUUUCUGUAUUCUGCAUUUUUAAGCAAACUCCAGCCCCCAGGCCAGGACUUGGGUUCAGAACCCAGCCCCUCUCACAAGCUUUGUGACCCAGAGCAAGUCAGAACCUCUCCAAGCCUCCGGUCCCUCAUUUAUAAAGUGGGGAUCAUGGUACCAGCCUCACAGAGCAGUUGUGUGGUUUAAGUCACCUCCCCGAAGAGCUCAAGAAAUAGAAACGACUUCCCAGGCAGUUUCUAUGCUUUGUACCUCGCAUGGUGUCUCAUUUUAAAGCAGAUGCUUCCUAGGGUGAGAGAACUUUAUUCCAGUGACACUUGUGGAAUGCCCAGGCACUUUAGACUCUGAAGAGAAAGGUCCAGGGCUGAGGUAUUACAUUAUAGGAAAUGGAUGUUCAGUUGGCCCUUGAACAACACGGGUUUGAACUGCUCAGGUCCACUUAUACGUGGAUUUUUUCCAGUAGUACACGAUCUGCAGUUUGUUGAAUCUGCAGGUGCAGAACCACAGAUUUGGAGGGCUAACUCUAAGUUACACAGGAAUUUUCAAUUGGGGUUGGGGGGGUGGGCCCCUACCCACCUCUCUCUCAAGGGUCCGCUGUGUUUGACUGGAACUGUUUUUACUCGAUGAAAAGCGAGCACGUGCACUGGCCACUAGGUAGCAGCAUCGCGCCACAAAACAAGGCCCUUCCUGUCCCUGGUGGUGACUGGUCCACACUGAGCGCUGACUUGCUCCUGGUGUUGUUCUAGGUGCCCAUUUUCUAUCUCAGCUGCCCUCGGAGAUAAGCAGAAGGAAGUUGUGCUUGAUGUUAUAAAAGGGCUACAAUUUCUGCCGACGGAGGCCCUUUGCUGGAAUAGCCACCAGACUGACCCUGCGGCAGCUGGGCUGGACAGGACCAACUUGGCUGGAGGCAGAACGCGUCUGUGGCCACCUCCAUCCACUUUCUGAGGUGUUCGACUGCCUCUCCUUCUGCAGAUAAGAGGAAAAUAUUUAACAAGGCCAGAAGGAAGUAAACUAAUUUGGACGUAAUGAAACCGGCUGCAAGCUUUUCUGCCAGUGAGGCUAUGGCUCCGUGUGGCUGAGAAAUACACUGAAAUAAUCAAGAGGGAGGAACUAGCAGACUGAACACCUGGCAGAAAGCAGGGGAAGUAAGGUGAAGCUGAUGGAGACCCAGCAGGUACGAAGGCACCUGUCCCAUGCCCCGAAGUUCUAUGUCCGGCCAGGACACACAACCAGGUCCCAAGAGGGGAGGGCAGAGGGCAUGACAGUCGUCACAAAACUACUUUAAAAGGGGCAGUGUGGACACUCGAGUUAGAAUAACUGAUAGCCAGGAAGAAUGUGAGACGUGACACCUAAGCCUGUCAGGUCACUAGUGUACCAGCGAGAGGACUCACACAG
Vicugna pacos (alpaca) is the source of this 4115-nucleotide non-coding RNA. NCBI's taxonomy places the organism in Eukaryota, Metazoa, Chordata, Mammalia, Artiodactyla, Camelidae. The record is from RefSeq and is a predicted model, not a curated record.